RNAcentral lists this ribosomal RNA (197 nucleotides) under ascomycete sp. CH-Co7. Its description in RNAcentral is "partial 18S ribosomal RNA". Lineage: Eukaryota; Fungi; Ascomycota. The record is from RNAcentral.
GAAGCCUCACACAGCGACUCUAAAUCAACUGUGGAGUCUUACCAUAGGUAAAGACAAUACCGCUGAAAUGCUGUGAUCACGAAAGUGUACCAGCAGCCUAAUCCAGGCCCACAGAUCAAGUGGCGGUGGUCUUAGCUACACAGCUUUAGACUAUAAUAUGACCGGUUCUUAUCCUAACGGUUAAGAGCUUUAACGUU